GCUUACACAUGCAGUCGAACGAUGAAGCCCAGCUUGCUGGGUGGAUUAGUGGCGAACGGGUGAGUAACACGUGAGUAACCUGCCCUUAACUCUGGGAUAAGCCUGGGAAACUGGGUCUAAUACCGGAUAGGAGCGUCCACCGCAUGGUGGGUGUUGGAAAGAUUUAUCGGUUUUGGAUGGACUCGCGGCCUAUCAGCUUGUUGGUGAGGUAAUGGCUCACCAAGGCGACGACGGGUAGCCGGCCUGAGAGGGUGACCGGCCACACUGGGACUGAGACACGGCCCAGACUCCUACGGGAGGCAGCAGUGGGGAAUAUUGCACAAUGGGCGAAAGCCUGAUGCAGCGACGCCGCGUGAGGGAUGACGGCCUUCGGGUUGUAAACCUCUUUCAGUAGGGAAGAAGCGAAAGUGACGGUACCUGCAGAAGAAGCACCGGCUAACUACGUGCCAGCAGCCGCGGUAAUACGUAGGGUGCGAGCGUUAUCCGGAAUUAUUGGGCGUAAAGAGCUCGUAGGCGGUUUGUCGCGUCUGUCGUGAAAGUCCGGGGCUUAACCCCGGAUCUGCGGUGGGUACGGGCAGACUAGAGUGCAGUAGGGGAGACUGGAAUUCCUGGUGUAGCGGUGGAAUGCGCAGAUAUCAGGAGGAACACCGAUGGCGAAGGCAGGUCUCUGGGCUGUAACUGACGCUGAGGAGCGAAAGCAUGGGGAGCGAACAGGAUUAGAUACCCUGGUAGUCCAUGCCGUAAACGUUGGGCACUAGGUGUGGGGACCAUUCCACGGUUUCCGCGCCGCAGCUAACGCAUUAAGUGCCCCGCCUGGGGAGUACGGCCGCAAGGCUAAAACUCAAAGGAAUUGACGGGGGCCCGCACAAGCGGCGGAGCAUGCGGAUUAAUUCGAUGCAACGCGAAGAACCUUACCAAGGCUUGACAUGUUCUCGAUCGCCGUAGAGAUACGGUUUCCCCUUUGGGGCGGGUUCACAGGUGGUGCAUGGUUGUCGUCAGCUCGUGUCGUGAGAUGUUGGGUUAAGUCCCGCAACGAGCGCAACCCUCGUUCCAUGUUGCCAGCACGUCGUGGUGGGGACUCAUGGGAGACUGCCGGGGUCAACUCGGAGGAAGGUGAGGACGACGUCAAAUCAUCAUGCCCCUUAUGUCUUGGGCUUCACGCA
RNAcentral lists this ribosomal RNA (1163 nucleotides) under Micrococcus sp. WB20-02. Its description in RNAcentral is "bacterial SSU rRNA". It matches the Rfam family "Bacterial small subunit ribosomal RNA", at positions 46 to 1222 of the family's 1533-position model. The record is from RNAcentral. Lineage: Bacteria; Bacillati; Actinomycetota; Actinomycetes; Micrococcales; Micrococcaceae.